Molecule: ribosomal RNA, 526 nt
Filed under: uncultured bacterium
Lineage: Bacteria
Description: bacterial SSU rRNA
Rfam family: Bacterial small subunit ribosomal RNA
Source: RNAcentral
AAUAGAUACCCGGGUAGUCCAUGCCGUAAACGUUGGGCACUAGGUGUGGGGGACAUUCCACGUUUUCCGCGCCGUAGCUAACGCAUUAAGUGCCCCGCCUGGGGAGUACGGCCGCAAGGCUAAAACUCAAAGGAAUUGACGGGGGCCCGCACAAGCGGCGGAGCAUGCUGAUUAAUUCGAUGCAACGCGAAGAACCUUACCAAGGCUUGACAUGCACCGGACGGCUGCAGAGAUGUGGCUUUCUUUGGACUGGUGCACAGGUGGUGCAUGGUUGUCGUCAGCUCGUGUCGUGAGAUGUUGGGUUAAGUCCCGCAACGAGCGCAACCCUCGUUCUAUGUUGCCAGCACGUGAUGGUGGGGGCUCAUAGGAGACUGCCGGGGUCAACUCGGAGGAAGGUGGGGACGACGUCAAAUCAUCAUGCCCCUUAUGUCUUGGGCUUCAAGCAUGCUACAAUGGUCGGUACAAUGGGUUGCGAAACUGUGAGGUGGAGCGAAUCCCAAAAAGCCGGCCUCAGUUCGGAUUGGGU